RNAcentral lists this ribosomal RNA (459 nucleotides) under Sulfurospirillum sp. enrichment culture SL2 clone SL2-Sul. Its description in RNAcentral is "bacterial SSU rRNA". It matches the Rfam family "Bacterial small subunit ribosomal RNA", at positions 29 to 506 of the family's 1533-position model. The record is from RNAcentral. Lineage: Bacteria; Pseudomonadati; Campylobacterota; Epsilonproteobacteria; Campylobacterales; Sulfurospirillaceae.
AGUGAACGCUGGCGGCGUGCUUAACACAUGCAAGUCGAACGGAUGAAAUAAGCUUGCUUAUUUCGUUAGUGGCGCACGGGUGAGUAAUGUAUAGCUAACCUGCCCUUUAGUGGGGGACAACAGUUGGAAACGGCUGCUAAUACCCCAUACUCCAACUUAUCCUAAGAUAAGUUGGGAAAGAUUUAUUGCUAAAGGAUGGGGCUUUAUUGUAUCGGCUAGUUGGUGGGGUAAUGGCCUACCAAGGCAAUGACGCAUACCUGGUCUGAGAGGAUGAUCAGGCACACUGGAACUGAGACACGGUCCAGACUCCUACGGGAGGCAGCAGUGGGGAAUAUUGCACAAUGGAGGAAACUCUGAUGCAGCAACGCCGCGUGGAGGAUGACGCAUUUCGGUGUGUAAACUCCUUUUAUAAGGGAAGAUAAUGACGGUACCUUAUGAAUAAGCACCGGCUAACUCCGU